CCUACGGGCGACAGCAGUGGGGAAUAUUGCGCAAUGGGCGAAAGCCUGACGCAGCGACGCCGCGUGAGGGAUGAAGGUCUUCGGAUCGUAAACCUCUGUCAGCAGGGAAGAACGGUCACUGUGCUAAUCAGCAGUGAAUUGACGGUACCUGCAAAGGAAGCACCGGCUAACUCCGUGCCAGCAGCCGCGGUAAUACGGAGGGUGCGAGCGUUAAUCGGAAUUACUGGGCGUAAAGCGCUCGUAGGCGGUAUGUCAAGUCAAGGGUGAAAUCCCCGCGCUCAACGUGGGAACUGCCUUUGAAACUGGCAAACUGGAGUGUGUGAGAGGAUAGUGGAAUUCCAGGUGUAGGAGUGAAAGCCGUAGAUAUCUGGAGGAACAUCAGUGGCGAAGGCGACUAUCUGGCACAUAACUGACGCUGAGGAGCGAAAGCGUGGGUAGCAAACAGGAUUAGAUACCCCAGUAGUC
This 465-nucleotide ribosomal RNA is filed under the name uncultured bacterium. RNAcentral's name for it is "partial 16S ribosomal RNA". It matches the Rfam family "Bacterial small subunit ribosomal RNA", at positions 338 to 795 of the family's 1533-position model. The record is from RNAcentral.